This 72-nucleotide transfer RNA is filed under the name Stegodyphus mimosarum. It matches the Rfam family "tRNA". Rfam says of the family: Transfer RNA (tRNA) molecules are approximately 80 nucleotides in length. The record is from Rfam by way of RNAcentral. Lineage: Eukaryota; Metazoa; Arthropoda; Arachnida; Araneae; Eresidae.
GCCUUCGUAGUGUAACGGUUAGCACACUCGGCGUGUGUUCGAGAGGUCCAGGUUCGAGUCCCAGCGAGCGCA